RNAcentral lists this transfer RNA (83 nucleotides) under Alligator mississippiensis (American alligator). It matches the Rfam family "tRNA". From Rfam's summary of the family: Transfer RNA (tRNA) molecules are approximately 80 nucleotides in length. Their secondary structure includes four short double-helical elements and three loops (D, anti-codon, and T loops). The record is from Rfam by way of RNAcentral. Lineage: Eukaryota; Metazoa; Chordata; Crocodylia; Alligatoridae.
ACCAGGAUAGCCAAGUGGUUAAGGUGUUGGGCUUAAGAUUUAAUGGAUAUAUGUCUGCAUGGGUUCAAACCCUGCUCCUGGUA